This 235-nucleotide ribosomal RNA is filed under the name Enterobacter sp. ENT02. RNAcentral's name for it is "partial 23S ribosomal RNA". It matches the Rfam family "Bacterial large subunit ribosomal RNA", at positions 228 to 501 of the family's 2925-position model. The record is from RNAcentral. Lineage: Bacteria; Pseudomonadati; Pseudomonadota; Gammaproteobacteria; Enterobacterales; Enterobacteriaceae.
ACCGAGAUUCCCCCAGUAGCGGCGAGCGAACGGGGAGCAGCCCAGAGUCUGAAUCAGCUUGUGUGUUAGUGGAAGCGUCUGGAAAGUCGCACGGUACAGGGUGAUAGUCCCGUACACGAAAGCACACAUGCUGUGAACUCGAAGAGUAGGGCGGGACACGUGGUAUCCUGUCUGAAUAUGGGGGGACCAUCCUCCAAGGCUAAAUACUCCUGACUGACCGAUAGUGAACCAGUAC